Molecule: long non-coding RNA, 163 nt
Organism: Ipomoea nil (Japanese morning glory)
Lineage: Eukaryota; Viridiplantae; Streptophyta; Magnoliopsida; Solanales; Convolvulaceae
Exons: 3
Source: RefSeq, a predicted model, not a curated record
UGCUCCUCCGAUCUGCCUGGAUUCUCCCGUCGAGAGUCAUUUUUAAAGUAUUACCAAAACUCUUCCGACUGAAUAUGAUAAAGCCUAUAAAUAACUCGCUACUAUCAUUUCUUCAUUAUAAAUUAAGAUUUUCUUUGAACUUGAUGCACAAAUAGAUAGAAUA